This is a small nuclear RNA of Phyllostomus hastatus (greater spear-nosed bat), 164 nucleotides long. RefSeq annotates it as U1 spliceosomal RNA. The record is from RefSeq and is a predicted model, not a curated record. Lineage: Eukaryota; Metazoa; Chordata; Mammalia; Chiroptera; Phyllostomidae. The transcript has a single exon.
UUACUUACCUAGUGGGAGAGGUACCAUGAUCACAAAGGUGGUUUUCCCAGGGUGAGGCUUAUCCAUUGCACUAUGGAUGUGCUGACCCCUGUGAUUUCCCCAAAUGUGGGAGACUCGACUGCGUAAUUUGUACUAGUGGGGGACUGCGUUCACACUCUCUCUUA